RNAcentral lists this ribosomal RNA (468 nucleotides) under uncultured bacterium. RNAcentral's name for it is "partial 16S ribosomal RNA". It matches the Rfam family "Bacterial small subunit ribosomal RNA", at positions 28 to 507 of the family's 1533-position model. The record is from RNAcentral.
GACGAACGCUGGCGGCGUGCUUAACACAUGCAAGUCGAACGGAAAGGCCCUGCUUUUGUGGGGUGCUCGAGUGGCGAACGGGUGAGUAACACGUGAGUAACCUGCCUUUUACUUUGGGAUAACUUCAGGAAACUGGGGCUAAUACCGGAUAGGAGCUCCUGCUGCACGGUGGGGGUUGGAAAGUUUCGGUGGUUGGGGAUUGACUCGCGGCUUAUCAGCUUGUUGGUGGGGUAGUGGCUUACCAAGGCUUUGACGGGUAGCCGGCCUGAGAGGGUGGCCGGCGACAUUGGGACUGAGAUACGGCGCAGACUCCUACGGGAGGCAGCAGUGGGGAAUAUUGCACAAUGGGCGGAAGCCUGAUGCAGCAACGCCGCGUGCGGGAUGACGGCCUUCGGGUUGUAAACCGCUUUCGCCUGUGACGAAGCGUGAGUGACGGUAAUAGGUAAAGAAGCACCGGCUAACUACGUG